This 480-nucleotide ribosomal RNA is filed under the name uncultured bacterium. RNAcentral's name for it is "bacterial SSU rRNA". It matches the Rfam family "Bacterial small subunit ribosomal RNA", at positions 30 to 506 of the family's 1533-position model. The record is from RNAcentral.
UUGAACGCUGGCGGCAUGCUUUACACAUGCAAGUCGAACGGUAACAGGCCGCAAGGUGCUGACGAGUGGCGAACGGGUGAGUAAUGCAUCGGAACGUGCCCAGUCGUGGGGGAUAACGCAGCGAAAGCUGUGCUAAUACCGCAUACGAUCUAAGGAUGAAAGCGGGGGACCGAAAGGCCUCGCGCGAUUGGAGCGGCUGAUGUCGGAUUAGCUAGUUGGUGGGGUAAAGGCCUACCAAGGCGACGAUCCGUAGCCGGUCUGAGAGGAUGAUCAGCCACACUGGGACUGAGACACGGCCCAGACUCCUACGGGAGGCAGCAGUGGGGAAUUUUGGACAAUGGGGGCAACCCUGAUCCAGCCAUGCCGCGUGAGUGAAGAAGGCCUUCGGGUUGUAAAACUCUUUCGGCAGGAACGAAACGGUGAGCUCUAACAUAGCUUGCUAAUGACGGUACCUGAAGAAGAAGCACCGGCUAACUACGU